Molecule: non-coding RNA, 1205 nt
Organism: Microcebus murinus (gray mouse lemur)
Lineage: Eukaryota; Metazoa; Chordata; Mammalia; Primates; Cheirogaleidae
Source: RefSeq, a predicted model, not a curated record
CUGUUAUAAGCAUAAUAGAGACACCCUGGUGCUUAAGGGCGAACAUGGAAUACAGGAAAAGGACAGCCAGUUCCAGUCCUGACUUGGACCAUGGACACAGCGGCAAUGCCCCUGCAGGGAAGAAGAGCGAGAGUAACAAAGUCAAGGUGAGAGAGCCACAGGAACACUGCGGCUAGAGAAAUGCAAGAAUUACCUGCAAGAGAUGGGCUAUAUCCCAUCUCCAUCCCUCAUUUACAUUUUAUAGGCCAAGCUCACAGAGGCAGAAACAGCAGAGAAAUAAAAGUCCCUCUGCUGUGUCCGCACGAAUUUAAUAUUUCAUUACCAGUGAAGAUUGAAUUUUACAUUUUCGGGUCUCACCUCUCCGUCUAAACUCAGGCCCUGUUCCAAGAUACACAGCUCGGUCGGGGAGUUCACAGCUUCAUUUGCAGACUGUCCUGAAGGCCUGGAACAGAUUCUCCUUGUUGCCAUUACAUUUUCAUUAGAGCUCCACCACUCAAGUUGGUCUAUUCCAGUUCCCUACUUCUUCUGUGACUGGUGUGGCUGACUUGAUUAUCAAAGCUACAUGAGGGCCAGGUGACUACUUCUGAGUAGGACUGGCAGGUGUCACGUCCAGACCAUGGCGACUAGUAGUAGCUGGUGCACCUCCUCCAUUUCUCUCCCCUGCUCCCACAGCGGCCCAGAGAUGGACUAGGCUCUCCCAGCCCACACUGAGCAAACUUUUCUUAUGUUCAACUCCAAGAUUUAAAGUGUUUAUUCUGGCAGCUAACUUUUUUUACCCUGAACAAUACAGGAUAUAUUUUGAAGUUGAAUCUAAUAGGACAUGCUAAGGGUAUGAAAGAAAGAAAAGAUUCCAAGAUGACUCAACACAUUUUUUUUUUUUUUAUUUUUGCUAGAUCACUAGGGUGGGUUAUGGUGUCAUUAUGCAGAUGGAGAACACUAAGUAGGAGUAUCAGGUUUGACAGUAGAAACCAAGAGUUUGAAUUUGGACCUGUUGAGUUUUCGUUGCUCAUUAAAUAUCCAGGAGAAUUGGCUAGCAGAUAAUUGGAUACGUAGUUUGGAGUUCAGGGGAGGGUCACAGCUGGCAAUACAGAUUUGGUAAUCAUCAUUCUUCAGAUUAGAAUUCAAGGCCAUAGGACUGGAAAAAACCAUUCAGGAAAUUAAUACAGGCAGACAAGUAUAUUAUUGAAUAUAAUGACAAAAUAGUA